GCCCGCAUGGAUCAGUUGGUAGAUCACCUUCCAUCGUUAUGUUAUCAUAAUGUAUGGAUAGAAGGAAACGGAGGUUCAAACCCUCCUGCGGGCA
Molecule: non-coding RNA, 94 nt
Organism: Mycena leptocephala
Lineage: Eukaryota; Fungi; Basidiomycota; Agaricomycetes; Agaricales; Mycenaceae
Source: the annotation of a GenBank genome assembly